CUCCAACAGAGGACAUCCAAACACAACACAAAAAACAUCAGAGAGACCCACACAGCCAUAUGAUGGAGGGCGGAGAGGCUGGAGCCCCCCCUUGGAGGAGGCGGAACAAGCUUGGGGCUGACAGAACAGAAAUCUGCAUAUUUCCAACCACCCCAGGAAGUUCUGCUACUGAUAGGCGAUCCACAAUCCACCAGAGACUAAGAACUUAAAGCGCUUCUGAUAAGGGGUCUAUCCACAAGGGAAAAUUGGUGAGAAGAAAAAUCAGAAACUCAGGCUUAAGUUCCAGAUCGGUAAAAAUUUCCACUCUUUUUUUGUUGGCUGGGCAAGUUCACAUCCUAGCGGCUAAAGACUUGCAUGAUGUGGGCCUUACCUACCCCAUUUGCUUCAUCUCAUCCUCUCAUCCUGCAGGCUCCAACCAAACUGGACUUUCAGUAUUUCUCAAACAGAGGUCAGUAAGGACAAGAAUAUCCCGUUUGUAAGGACUGAUGGAAUUGGCCUUUGCUGAUGACCAGGUGGAUAACCAAUCAAUGGAGCACAAGUCUAGCCUUUUGCCUGAUGACCUAAUCUCCCGCCAAUCUGUGAAGUACAAACCCAGCCUUACCUCAUUUGGCACCAAUGAACUCUUCUUUAAUACAACUCACCUCGUCCUCCCUUUUUCCCACAAAAGCUUUAAGCCUCUCUCCUGUAAUCAGGACACUAUUUGAGUUUCUACCAGAUUCUGUGCUCCCUGAAUUGCAAUUCUUUGAUCCCAAAUAAACACUUUGCC
This 766-nucleotide long non-coding RNA is filed under the name Equus caballus (horse). RNAcentral describes it as "lncRNA (ENSECAG00000047779.1)". The record is from RNAcentral. Lineage: Eukaryota; Metazoa; Chordata; Mammalia; Perissodactyla; Equidae.